UCAGGCCUAACACAUGCAAGUCGAGGGGUAGAACAUUUCGGUGUUUGAGACCGGCGCACGGGUGCGUAACGCGUAUGCAACCUACCUUUUACAGGGGAAUAGCCCAGAGAAAUUUGGAUCAAUGCCCCAUGGUAUAUUUAGAUGGCAUCAUCUGAUUAUUAAAGUUCCAACGGUAAAAGAUGGGCAUGCGUCCUAUUAGCUAGAUGGUAAGGUAACGGCUUACCAUGGCAACGAUAGGUAGGGGUCCUGAGAGGGAGAUCCCCCACACUGGUACUGAGACACGGACCAGACUCCUACGGGAGGCAGCAGUGAGGAAUAUUGGACAAUGGGCGCAAGCCUGAUCCAGCCAUGCCGCGUGCAGGAAGAAGCAUCUAUGGUGUAAAGGUGCUUUGUACGGGAAGAAACACUCCUACGGUAGGAGCUGAC
RNAcentral lists this ribosomal RNA (426 nucleotides) under uncultured bacterium. RNAcentral's name for it is "bacterial SSU rRNA". It matches the Rfam family "Bacterial small subunit ribosomal RNA", at positions 42 to 473 of the family's 1533-position model. The record is from RNAcentral.